CCUACGGGUGGCAGCAGUGAGGAAUAUUGGUCAAUGGACGAGAGUCUGAACCAGCCAAGUAGCGUGAAGGAUGACUGCCCUCUGGGUUGUAAACUUCUUUUAUAUGGGAAUAGAAUGUUCCACGUUUGGUAUUGUGUAUGUACCAUAUGACUAAGGAUCGGCUACCUCCGUGCCAGCGGCCGCGGUAAUACGGAGGAUCUGAGCGUGAUCCGGAUUUAUUGGAUUUAAGGGGAGCGUAGGUGGAUUGUUAAGCCAGUGGUGAAAGUUUGCGGCUCAACCGUAAAAUUGCAGUUGAAACUGGCAGUCUUGAGUACAGUAGAGGUGGGCGGAAUUCGGGGUGUAGCGGUGAAAUGCUUAGAUAUCACGAAGAACUCCGAUUGCGAAGGCAGCUCACUGGACUGCAACUGACACUGAGGCUCGAAAGUGUGGGUAUCAAACAGGAUUAGAUACCCCAGUAGUC
RNAcentral lists this ribosomal RNA (460 nucleotides) under uncultured bacterium. Its description in RNAcentral is "partial 16S ribosomal RNA". It matches the Rfam family "Bacterial small subunit ribosomal RNA", at positions 338 to 795 of the family's 1533-position model. The record is from RNAcentral.